This 89-nucleotide transfer RNA is filed under the name Polistes fuscatus (common paper wasp). RNAcentral describes it as "tRNA-Ser". The stretch from base 5 to 77 matches the Rfam family "tRNA", at positions 5 to 66 of the family's 71-position model. From Rfam's summary of the family: Transfer RNA (tRNA) molecules are approximately 80 nucleotides in length. Their secondary structure includes four short double-helical elements and three loops (D, anti-codon, and T loops). Lineage: Eukaryota; Metazoa; Arthropoda; Insecta; Hymenoptera; Vespidae. The record is from RNAcentral.
UUAAUCGUGGCCGAGUGGUUAAGGCGUCUGAUUAGAAAUCAGGUUCCCUCUGGGAGCGUAGGUUCGAGUCCUACCGACUGCGAGUUAAG